This is a long non-coding RNA of Zeugodacus cucurbitae (melon fly), 1972 nucleotides long. RefSeq lists it as uncharacterized. The transcript has 3 exons. Lineage: Eukaryota; Metazoa; Arthropoda; Insecta; Diptera; Tephritidae. The record is from RefSeq and is a predicted model, not a curated record.
UGUUGCAAAGCAAAUAGAAAAAACAGCGCGCAACUUCAACUUGUUACGGCGCACAGCGCGCUCGUGUGUGUGUGCAUUUGUGUGUUGCAAGGAACGCAAGAGUCCUGCGAGAGCGAAUGCGCGCCAGUGCGCAUGCCCAACACUUGACGGAGACGUGAUGGCGCUGACUGUGGGUGUGCGUGUGUGUAUUGUUGUGGCUUUAACUUCACUCAACAGCGUAAAAUGAGCGACGCCUCACCUCACUUGCCACAGCGCUGCGUGUGUGUCGUGUAACGAGGGGGUGGCAAAUACGCGUUCGUUGCGCGCUUCCAUUUCCAGUCGCCGCGCGCACGUACUGGCUCUGCCUGAGUAGCGUUGGCGUUGGCGUUGGCGUCGGUGUCGACGUCUUCUUCAAGUUGCUUCGCACUUUCGCGCUUUGUUGUUCGUUGCGGGCUUGGCAAAGUCGUUCACGGACAGUAGCAGUCGGGCAUUGUGCCUGACUGGUGCGUCGCGUCUCAAUCAUUCGCCGCCCAUUCGCGCACUGCCAACACUUGCCAACUGCCAGCCAUAACGGUCGCGCGCACGCACACACACAUACAUACAGACACUUGUAAUAUUUCGCGUAAAAGGCAACUGAGUUAAUAUUUCUUCGCGACGCGGAGAGCGUUUGCAAAUUCGCUGUGAAACUUUACACGCACAGAGUUGAUUCGAAGUCGAGUCUUCACAUCUCCGCGACUGCUGUUGAUGGCUUCCUUGGAGUCUGUGAGCGUUGCGGCUGCUGCCAACGCCUGCACCGCCCGCCGUGCCACCGUCGAUUUGGCAAUCGCAUUUGAAAUCGCCCCCGUCACUGGCAUUGAUGGAGCCGUUGAAGAUGAAACGCGAAGACGCGCUCCCAAAUUGUUUAGCGCGAUUCAGUGGUGAUAAGGCGCUAGCCACCGCAGAAGAAAAGGAAUCUGUUCUGUUCGCAUUGCGUGCAAUAGAAAUUGAAAUUUCAUUCCUCAACGUGAGGCGCAUCCGAAAGGUUGUCGGCGGCUUUGCAAAUUGUAAUACGUUUGGGGACAGCCCCAAGAUGGUAUCAAAUAAAACCAUAAAAAAGACAAGUUGGAACAAUCUUUAACUUAACAGAGAGUGCUGAAGUGCUACUGUGACUUAUGUGACUAUAUUGUUGAGUGAGAACAGCAAAAAAAAAAAAAUAUUUAAAAAAUAAAAUAACUGAAGGAAGACCAAAAUUUUUUAAAGUGACGAGAAAAAGUGAUAACUGCUGAAAAAUUUAAAAGAACGGUGUCUCAGAAUAAAAAUUACAAAAUUUUGUUAUGGAUUUUAAUACAAUAACUAUGUGCUUUUUGCCGUUUAGCUACAUUUCAUUGAAGUGCCACACAAAAUUAUGGAAUAUCUUCCGCGGUUGGUUGGACCAGCCUUACUUAUUUUCCGGAAGUUCAGAAAUAAUGCAAAAAUAUCACAAAAAGCUAAGAGAGAGUUUUAGAAAGAAUCCUAUACAAACUUAAUAAGCUGACCGUGAUCUUAUUUCAAAAAAAGAAUGGCGGCAUGGUUCACGAACCAGUUGAAUGUGAUGAGAAUCCAUAUUUAUCAUAUAGUUUGGAAUAUUAUGGCACCCAUGGUGAGGUAAAUGGUUUCUAGGAUAGUUAAAAAGAUGCCAAAGAUAUUAAAUAUUUAGUUCUUCGGCUUUAAUUUUUUUUCUGAGAAUCUCAAUGCUCUGGCUUUUCUUCCUUGAAGCUUUAAAUUUGAAUUAUUGGUUAGGCUAUCAAAAAUAUAAGAUUUUACCGCUAUUUAAUGCUCCACUGCUUUAAAAAUUUACUCUGGAAUAAGCCUAUUCAGAGAAGCCCUUUUCUCAAAAUUAACAUUUAAGCGCUUUCUUAAUAAGGCCCAGAAUUUUUGAACUCGUUCUCGUUGAGAAACCUCUGAAAGCAUAUUCCUUUUAUCUUUCUACGAAGUUAUAAUAAUCAAAACUUAUUUUGAGGUUAGGUCAGUUAUU